GUAACAAGGUUUCCACAGCACAAGUUAGGGAAUGUGAUACUUCCUUGGGUAAAACUUACAGAAGCCUUAGUAGCCCAGAGAUGGGAGGCCACACGACUAAAAAUAUAGUGUGCCACUUGCUAGUUGACCUAGGCGUCAGCAACAUAACCGGACUGACGGGAACGACCUAUAGCACCACCAUGCAGAUGUGGAGGUGCUAUAGGGCAACCCACAGCGGGUCUCAUGGACGCUAAUUGCGUACGAUGGGGCACGUUUACAGACUAAGUGGUUAUGGGUAGAGCUGCAAUGCUCUAUUUAAGAUAUAGUCGGGCCUGACGGAUAGCAUCCGUCGGGGUCUCUCUUCGCUAAAGGUCCCCCAUUUAGCGAUAGACGCAGCCGUUCCGUAGGUGAACCUGCGGAAGGAUCAUUAUCGAGAACGUAGCCCCCCGGGGUACAUCUCACCACCCUAUGUUUAUUACCUAUGUUGCUUUGGCAAGCCCGUCUCUAUCGACCACCGGCAUCUCUGCUGGUCAGCGCUUGCCAGAGGACCCCAAACUCACAUUUAUUGUCGUCCGAGUACCAUAUAAUAGUGAAAACUUUCAACAACGGAUCUCUUGNUUCUGGCAUCGAUGAAGAACGCAGCGAAAUGCGAUAAGUAAUGUGAAUUGCAGAAUUCAGUGAAUCAUCGAAUCUUUGAACGCACAUUGCACCCUUAGUAUUCUGGGGGGUAUGCCUGUCGAGCGUCAUUACANCCUCAAGCACUGCUUNNNUUGGGCUCACNGCUCGGUGAGCCCUAAAAUCAGUGGCGGAGCCGUUNGGUUUCCAGCGUAGUACAUCUCUCGCUGUGGGACCGCAACGUGCCCUGCCAGCAACCCCUAAAUUCUCGUGGUUGACCUCGGAUCAGGUAGGGAUACCCGCUGAACUUAAGCAUAUCAAUAAGCGGAGGAAAAGAAACCAACAGGGAUUGCCUCAGUAACGGCGAGUGAAGCGGCAACAGCUCAAAUUUGAAAUCUGGCCUCACGGCCCGAGUUGUAAUUUGCAGAGGAUGCUUCGGGCGUGGUCUAGUCUAAGUUCCUUGGAAUAGGACGUCAUAGAGGGUGAGAAUCCCGUAUGCGACUGGGUGCCUAAGUCCAUGUGAAGCUCCUUCAACGAGUCGAGUUGUUUGGGAAUGCAGCUCUAAAUGGGUGGUAAAUUUCAUCUAAAGCUAAAUAUUGGCCAGAGACCGAUAGCGCACAAGUAGAGUGAUCGAAAGAUGAAAAGCACUUUGGAAAGAGAGUUAAACAGUACGUGAAAUUGUUGAAAGGGAAGCGCUUGCAACCAGACAUGCCUCUAGUUGAUCACCCGAUGUUCUCACCGGGGAACUCUGCUAGAUUCAGGCCAGCAUCGGUUUCGGUGGUUAGAUAAAGGCCCUGGGAAUGUGGCUUCCCCCGGGAAGUGUUAUAGCCUAGGGUGUAAUGUAGCCUACCGGGACCGAGGACCGCGCUUCGGCUAGGAUGCUGGCGUAAUGGUUGUAAGCGAC
RNAcentral lists this ribosomal RNA (1498 nucleotides) under uncultured fungus. Its description in RNAcentral is "eukaryotic LSU rRNA". The stretch from base 870 to 1498 matches the Rfam family "Eukaryotic large subunit ribosomal RNA", at positions 1 to 648 of the family's 3401-position model. The record is from RNAcentral. Lineage: Eukaryota; Fungi.